AGAGAGAUUUAAUAAUCAAGGCACAACAGUCAUUGUCAGCUGAAAGGUCAAAAGGUCAGUUAUUAGAUGAGGUAGAACAACAUGAGAGGCAUUUAUGGACAAUAUCUCUUGUGUCCAAAAUGGCACCCCAUUUAUUCCCUAUAUAUUGCACUACUUUUAAACAGGGCCUAUAGGGUGUUGGUCAAAGGUAGUGCACUAGGUAGGGAACAGGGUGCCAUUUAUGGGUCUACCAUCCAUCAUAUCCCAUAAUGCUUCAGGAAGGUUAUGUUUUUGGACAAUAGGUAUAGUGAUAGUCUACAGUCCUCUAGUCCAGGUAUUGUGAUGCAGUCUACAGUCCUCUAGUCCAGGUAUUGUGAUACAGUCCAGGUAUUGUGAUACAGUCCACUAGUCCAGGUAUUGUGAUACAGUCUACAGUCCACUAGUCCAGGUAUUGUGAUACAGUCCAGGUAUUGUGAUACAGUCCACUAGUCCAGGUAUAGUGAUACAGUCCAGGUAUUGUGAUACAGUCCACUAGUCCAGGUAUUGUGAUACAGUCUACAGUCCACUAGUCCAGGUAUUGUGAUACAGUCCAGGUAUUGUGAUACAGUCCACUAGUCCAGGUAUAGUGAUACAGUCCAGGUAUUGUGAUACAGUCCACUAGUCCAGGUAUUGUGAUACAGUCCAGGUAUUGUGAUACAGUCUACAGUCCACUAGUCCAGGUAUUGUGAUACAGUCUACAGUCCACUAGUCCAGGUAUUGUGAUACAGUCUACAGUCCACUAGUCCAGGUAUUGUGAUACAGUCUACAGUCCACUAGUACAGGUAUUGUGAUACAGUCUACAGUCCACUAGUACAGGUAUUGUGAUACAGUCUACAGUCCAGGUAUUGUGAUACAGUCUACAGUCCACUAGUCCAGGUAUUGUGAUACAGUCUACAGUCCACUAGUCCAGGUAUUGUGAUACAGUCUACAGUCCACUAGUCCAGGUAUUGUGAUACAGUCUACAGUCCACCAGUCCAUGUAUUGUGAUACAGUCUACAGUCCUCUAGUCCAGGUAUUGUGAUACAGUCUACAGUCCACUAGUCCAGGUAUUGUGAUACAGUCUACAGUCCACUAGUCCAGGUAUUGUGAUACAGUCCACUAGUCCAGGUAUUGUGAUACAGUCUACAGUCCACUAGUACAGGUAUUGUGAUACAGUCUACAGUCCACUAGUCCAGGUAUUGUGAUACAGUCUACAGUCCACUAGUACAGGUAUUGUGAUACAGUCUACAGUCCAGGUAUUGUGAUACAGUCUACAGUCCACUAGUACAGGUAUUGUGAUACAGUCUACAGUCCACUAGUCCAGGUAUUGUGAUACAGUCUACAGUCCAGUAUUGUGAUACAGUCUACAGUCCAGGUAUUGUGAUACAGUCUACAGUCCACUAGUCCAGGUAUUGUGAUACAGUCUACAGUCCUCUAGUCCAGGUAUUGUGAUACAGUCUACAGUCCUCUAGUCCAGGUAUUGUGAUACAGUCUACAGUCCACUAGUCCAGGUAUUGUGAUACAGUCUACAGUCCACUAGUACAGGUAUUGUGAUACAGUCUACAGUCCAGGUAUUGUGAUACAGUCUACAGUCCACUAGUCCAGGUAUUGUGAUACAGUCUACAGUCCUCUAGUCCAGGUAUUGUGAUACAGUCUACAGUCCACUAGUACAGGUAUUGUGAUACAGUCUACAGUCCAGGUAUUGUGAUACAGUCCAGGUAUUGUGAUACAGUCUACAGUCCACUAGUCCAGGUAUUGUGAUACAGUCUACAGUCCAGGUAUUGUGAUACAGUCCAGGUAUUGUGAUACAGUCUACAGUCCACUAGUACAGGUAUUGUGAUACAGUCUACAGUCCACUAGUACAGGUAUUGUGAUACAGUCUACAGUCCACUAGUACAGGUAUUGUGAUACAGUCUACAGUCCACUAGUACAGGUAUUGUGAUACAGUCUACAGUCCACUAGUCCAGGUAUUGUGAUACAGUCUACAGUCCACUAGUCCAGGUAUUGUGAUACAGUCUACAGUCCACUAGUACAGGUAUUGUGAUACAGUCUACAGUCCAGGUAUUGUGAUACAGUCCAGGUAUUGUGAUACAGUCCACUAGUCCAGGUAUUGUGAUACAGUCUACAGUCCACUAGUCCAGGUAUUGUGAUACAGUCUACAGUCCACUAGUACAGGUAUUGUGAUACAGUCUACAGUCCAGGUAUUGUGAUACAGUCUACAGUCCACUAGUCCAGGUAUUGUGAUACAGUCUACAGUCCUCUAGUCCAGGUAUUGUGAUACAGUCUACAGUCCACUAGUACAGGUAUUGUGAUACAGUCUACAGUCCACUAGUACAGGUAUUGUGAUACAGUCUACAGUCCACUAGUCCAGGUAUUGUGAUACAGUCCACUAGUCCAGGUAUUGUGAUACAGUCUACAAUCCACUAGUACAGGUAUUGUGAUACAGUCCAGGUAUUGUGAUACAGUCUACAGUCCACUAGUACAGGUAUUGUGAUACAGUCUACAGUCCACUAGUACAGGUAUUGUGAUACAGUCCAGGUAUUGUGAUACAGUCCUCUAGUCCAGGUAUUGUGAUACAGUCUACAGUCCUCUAGUCCAGGUAUUGUGAUACAGUCUACAGUCCACUAGUCCAGGUAUUGUGAUACAGUCUACAGUCCACUAGUCCAGGUAUUGUGAUACAGUCUACAGUCCAGGUAUUGUGAUACAGUCUACAGUCCACUAGUCCAGGUAUUGUGAUACAGUCUACAGUCCACUAGUCCAGGUAUUGUGAUACAGUCUACAGUCCACUAGUCCAGGUAUUGUGAUACAGUCUACAGUCCACUAGUCCAGGUAUUGUGAUACAGUCUACAGUCCACUAGUCCAGGUAUUGUGAUACAGUCUACAGUCCACUAGUACAGGUAUUGUGAUACAGUCUACAGUCUACAGUCUGGAGAGAGGACACCCGUAGCUGUGGCUGUGAAUAUAGUGUUUGUUCUGUUCCCUCUGUUCUGUGUGUUCCUUGUUCUCUGUUCUGUGCAGUGAGCUCAGGCAGGUAGUCUGUCUAAAAGCAAGUCUUGUCAUGUUUGCAGGUGGAGGUGUGAUUCCAGGUAUCACGUUGACUGGAAGGUGUUCUUAGAGGUACUUCUAGACC
This is a long non-coding RNA of Coregonus clupeaformis (lake whitefish), 3127 nucleotides long. RefSeq lists it as uncharacterized. The record is from RefSeq and is a predicted model, not a curated record. The transcript is spliced from 3 exons. Lineage: Eukaryota; Metazoa; Chordata; Actinopteri; Salmoniformes; Salmonidae.